CUGCUAAAUCCCCGUUUGGAUUUGCGGAGUGUACAAACAUGGACGAGUAACGCUAAGUAUAGCUGGGAGGAGGAAAGACAAAGUGUGAGGAAACAGGCUGGUUCAACUUCAUCCGAACACCCUAAGUGGGUCACAGAGAUGUCCCCACUUUCUUUCCAAAUAAAAGUAAUGAAAACUUUUUAGUGUACCCACAAUCCAUUACUACAACCCUCUCGAAUUCUCCUUUUUGUGUUUUCAUGAUGGUCACCAAAACUGAACCCCAACAUCCUUCCCACUGUUCAUAAGGCGACUACUUAAAGUCAUGGUUGACGUUUGGAGAGAUUGGUAGUUAUUAUGAACCUCGUUUCUAUGGCGAUCAUGGUCCUAUUGUGCGAUCUCCGCAAAGUGAAGAGAAAAAAGAACGGAAAAAAUCUGUUCACCCUAUCAGGUGCAGGGCUGCAAAAACACUGACCAAUGGGAGCCAUUCAUCCCAGAUAGCUCCUAUUGGUCAAUCUCCUGCUCCGCCUAUCCAUCCAAUCACCUCGCUGUAUUCGACACACCCCCCUCCGCAGUUCCGACUCCCCCCCCAUUUCCUGGCCCUUCUCGGAGAUCUGGGCGGCUAAAAGUAGCGACAGAAGAAAGGGCGGAGUCAAAGAGGAAACGUGAACAAGCGAGGAAUCUAACUGGAAUAAACAUCGGGUCAUCCUUUGAGCGGUCGCCGGCAGCCAGCGAUCACCUAGUUGCGUCAGGUCGCGGCUGUACAUAGACUUUGCAUUGGAAGUCGUUGCUCAAGACGCCGAGGUUGCGUUUGGUCUGAACGCGGCUUUAGUCAUGAAAAUCAAAAACAGUACGAUGGCGGGAAUGACGAUUUCACCCAUUCAUGACCUGCACUUUUCACGUGUUGACGUCAGAUGCCCGCCGGCCAAAUGACCAAUCAAUGUAAACUACAGAGACACGCAAAACACGUAGUUGAUGAUGAUAUCUUGUAGGUUCGUCAUGUAAAGUCUGUUUGUCCGUUUGCAAUAAUGACAGUGUGAGACCUAAACAGACCGAACAAACAAAAACACGGACCUCCAGACUUUCAGGUGUGAAAACACCUUUAGAUUCAGCCCUAAAAAUUUGCAUCAUAAUACAGACCCUGAGGUUUUCUUGACUUUUGGAGAGAGCCUCAUGUGGACAUCCAGGGAACUACAGUUUUGUGACUUGCCUUUAACACCUUUUCACUUCUAUAAAACUCCAAAAGAGCGCUCAGACAACAGAGAAUUUGCACCAUAUGACGCAUUUGUCAGAUUAAACAUUAAUUAUUAAAAAUACGGAUGAUUAAUGUCUGAUAUGUGAAUUAUUGAGAUAUAAACUUUGGCUGAAUUUUCCCCAAGGAAGUUUUUUCACAUCUCUGCUAAAAAAUCAGCAGGAAGAUAAAACCAGGAGUCUGUUAGGUGACGUGAUAAAACUCCUCAAAGUUUAUCGUGAAAAAGUUUUUGUACUAUUUUCCUUAUUUGACUGUUUUUGACAGUGAACGACAUGAAAUUCCAGUUUGUCCCCACACUCAGCCCUAACUCGAGAUCUGCAGUAGAAUAAUCAUCUCCCUCCGUGUCCUCUCUACCUUCACUGCCUCAGGUGGUGUGUUUAGAUCCUCUGGAUUAAUGAAGCGAAUACCGCUGGACUCGGCUCUUUUCCUCUUAUUUUUCCUCCGUCUUCAUUUAUUUUUCCACUCGCUCCUCCCCCUCCUGUCCUUCAUCCUCUCUUCCUCCUGAGCUGAUCCUUUGUAUUUUAUUUUAUCUUUUUUAUUUAUUCUCUCCCCUCGGGUCACUUGUGUUCUGCAGCUUUUCCAGCCUUCACUUUCUGUUUGGUGAACCUCCACAUCUUCGUCCCUCUCGCUGCCUGAGGCUCUGCAGCUGGGAAUGAAUAAGCACGGUGACCUUUGACCUACACUCACUAAUCAAACAUCCACCACGACAUAAAAAAUCACAUCUUCUGGAACUUACAAUAUACAUAAUUUAUAAGAGCGAAUUUAAAUGAAGGCAGCAGGACAUUUUUAAUGUCAAUGUAAUGAAAAAAAAACAGGCUUUCUGCCUAUAAAUACAGAUAUAUGCUGAACAUGAAGUCAUUCUCCAGCCAAACAACCAGCAGACAGUCAGAGAAAAAAUGUCCCCCACACUGUUUCUAUAGUCCACCCAAUGAGAAAACAAAGUAGGGCUGCAGUCAUCAAAUAUUUUAGUACAGUGACCAUACGUCCUCUUUUACCCGGACAUGUCCUCUUUUUUGGAUGCCAUACGGGUUUGUCAGGUGAAUUUUAUAAAACCCCUCAAAUGUCCGCGAUUUUGUACAUAAGUUUCAAUUUUGUGUCGCGUGGACUUCCUGAGUUAGAGGCCCAUAAAAGACACUCGAUCCCACCUGGAAAAAUGUCAAAAUUAAAGGUGGGGUAAUCAGGAUCUGAGAAAGUUCCAGUUUUUAGGAGAAAUCUUGAAUGUAAACUCCACCCCUCCCAACCAGUUUUCCCCUCAGCUCCUCCUCUCCCCUCCCUCUCUGCUCCAUCAAGCCCCGCCCACAAACAGACGUUCCUGCUCGCUCGUAUCGUUCCAAUUAAAUUCAGGUAUAAUGCAGAUAAAUACUUCAGAUAAUUACAAUGGGGGCCAGUCAAGGUGAAAGUAAAAAGCAUUGGUGCUACUGUAGAUGCCAACAGACUACCAGAUAUCAUUAUAUCUCCAAAUAUCAUAAAUAACUAAUAACUAUUGACUGAUAUUAAAAGCUUUAUUGUAUUUACACUACAAAAAAAGAUGCUUCUUUCUCGGAUUCCUGCCUACCCCACCUUUAACUUCGUGUGACUCCACCUCCGCAUAGUCGUGUCCUCUUUUUGGGGAUUCAGAAUGGUCACCCUAUUUUAGAAAUCAGGUAAUCUAUCAUUUAUUCUGGAGAUUCAAUUCUGGUCGAGACUAGACUCUAUUUACAAAGACGGGAUCAGAUCCUCUCCAAUCCCCUAAUCUUCAACCACAUGAGGGAAACACUUUACAGCAUUUGGAGGAGAGGAAGAACUUCCUUCAACAGGCAGAAACCUGAAGGACGACCAGACUGGUGUAAGACAGAUCAAGGUCUCUUUUGUUCAGGUCAUCUGUGAAGGCUUCAUUAAUGCUGAACAACAUCUCCAUGUGGCUCUGAAUGAAAAAAACUGAACCACAUUUUUCCUCCCUGAAGAGUCAGAUAGUCGGUGUAUCUCUCAGUCUGAAUUUACUGAUUAGCCUUCAGCUCUCCUGUUAAAUAUCAGGAUUCAGCCGCUCACGUCCGUCUGAAUUAAGGUCACUUUUUAAUUCAUUCUGUUGCUUUUGGCCAAAUUCUGCGGUAAAAAGAUAAGUUCCCCCUGUUUUAUUUCUUUAUUUCUCAAAACUUUAAUUCUGUCUUUUCUUAUCUCAUUUUUCCUUCUUUUUUAAUUUCAUGUACAGAGCUCCACUCUUCCGUGUUCGUCCACGGCUGUGUCCGGGUUCAGGAGGGGCUCUGAAUACUGUAACUGCAGCAGGUUGGAGUUUGUAUGUUAACAGAUAAAGUACAUAAUCUGAAUGUGUGUGUUUGGUGUGUGUGUGUGUGAGUGUGUGUGUGUGUGUUUGGCAGGUAGUGGGUAGUUAUCAGCUCAGUCCAGCUGCUUCAUGCUCACUAAGCUCUUUACCAGCCAACAAACACACACACAUUCAUCCCUCCACUCUCUCACACAUACACCUCCACCUCCUUCUCUCCCUCCAUCACCGGUUUGACAUCCAAAUUUACAGAAACGCUCACAGGUAGAAAAGUUGCUGUUGUUCGACUCUGAUCUGAACCUGCGGGCAAAAAAGAAGAAGACGGUCGAUAAUGAAAAGACGCGGUGGAGUAACAGUCGUGGUUUACAGCAGCAGGGAUCAGAAAAAUUCAGGCAUUCGUGAUCUUAAACUCCUGAAAAGUCCAGAUGUUGCUAAAUCAACCAGGUACAUCAAAAACAAAUGAACACUGUUGAAACCGUUUUAAUAUUUCCAAUAGUGUUGUGUCGUUCACGAAUGAUUCAAGAUCUGAAAAGCUAAUGGGAUCGUCUUCUACUCCAGAUUUAGGGUUUUGAUUGUCAAUAAAAUGUCCAAAUGUAAAGUAAGAGUGAGAAAACAGCCCUGAGGUGAGUCUGCAGAGACAUGCUGUUAACUUUAACUCCUCGGUGAAAAGUUCAGGGUCCGACUGAGGCCGGGGAGUCUUGGUCCACCUGAAGCUGGCGGUCACUUUGGCUGAAUGGUUUCUAAACCAAUCAAAGAGUUCACACUUCUAUUGAAGCUCUACGUAAAGGUGUGUGUGCGGUCCAAACACACUCCAACGAGUAACGAUCGUGAAUUCAAGAACUACAAAAACCACGAGUCUGAAGUCCGGGUGAUUUUUCCAGGAGGAGCGAAUUGUCCGUGUGAAGAGUGUGAGGAAGAACGUCGACAACCUCAGACUCAGUCAUGUGAAUAAAAGGUUUAUUUUUAUUUACUGAGUGUGUGUGUGUGUGUGCAUGUGUGUGUGUGUGUGUGUGUGUGCUGGCAAUCCACAGAGGAACCUUCGACUUUCUAACACACUGUAUUCCCCGUCUCUGUCUCUCUCUCUCUCUCUCUCUCUAUUCUCCAGUGUGUGUUGCGGUGUGUUUAUGUUCCCAGAGCAGAUUUUCUUUCCGCAUCAUUCAACUCCCCUACAACCAUCAACACACACACACACACACACACACACACACACACACACACACACACACAAGUAGGAAUCUGGGAAGAACCUGGUAACUCUGGUUUUGCUCUUAAACUCACAUAUGAGCAGACGUGGAACAUUUAGGUCAGAAUAAUUAACUCCACCUCCUCGUUACUGAUUCAUUUUCCAUUAAUCAGUGGAUCAGGUAUAGUCCGGAUAGAUCCUUGACCAACCUGGACCCGUUUGACCACUAAUGGCUAUUUUUCUGGCGCAGGAAUCAAGUGAACCGUCACUCUCUUUGGACUGCACCACCGGACUUUAAAGCCUCAUCAAACCAAAGCUAGAAGACAGAACGGGCCGGACUUGUGUGGUUUAAAAACAGGGACUGAAGUCUGAACAGGUGAACACAUCGAACAGGGAGCGGGGAGGGUCAAAAGUUCAAGAAAAGAGGUCAAGAUAUGGUCCAGGAAGUAAGGGUUCACAUGUUUUUACCUCACAUUGUUCCCGGUUCAGCCCCCGUCCAGCAGCUGUUCAUCAUCCUCCCGAGCGGUCAUCUCGCCCAAGGCUUCAAACCUGCAGGAGAGCGAAGUGAAUCUGCAACUUAAAAGCCAAACAGCUCAAUCUUUUGUCAGAAAUAUUUACCUGUUUUUACGUAUUUUAAUUUGAGUCGGUUAAAAGUCUUCAGGUUGUGCUCUGAAAUGGACAUCAGCGGCUCGGUUCACCCUAAAGACAGAAACGUAAACCAAAGACGUAGAGGAGAUUGAAAUAUGUUAAUGCCGCCUGAUUAAUCGACGGGAUUAAACUCAUAUCAAAGACGUGAGAUGGCUCUCACACAGAUCCAGUAAAUGACGGACUGCUUCUUUAACUUCCUCCUAGAUUAAAGAUUUUCUCUCUUUUUUUCUUAUCUCUGUUCUGCCUGAAAUCCAGUUCCAACAAAUCUGAAGAAUUAAGAUUACAAAUCAUCCAGCUGGACCUAACCUUGGUAACUAGCAGCCCGAGGCCGCAGAGAUUUACUGAGUCGAACUGUCAGAUAAAAAAAAACAUUCAGCCGUCUCUUUUUUUCUUCCUGGACCCUCCUUCUGAAAUCAUCUCUUCAUUUGCGGGAUAUCGAGGGAUACAGUGACAGAUUCUGACUCCUGACCUCCUUUCAGGCAGAUCAUCACACUGCCGAUCUGGGAAAUAAGGGCGUCUCUGCUUCCACGCCGCUUUGGAUUGACUCCGCUGUGAGAGUCCCUCAGAAGGUGGUCUGUGUUUUUAAUCCCAAAUCAUCUGAGUCAGCUGAGGUUCAGGAUUAUAAAUAUUUGUGCUUCACAUUCUGCAGGGAUUACAACAGCAUAGCUCUGUAGGAGAAGAGUCCUGCUGAGAAACCAGACUGAUGCGGUCCAGAACGGCUGCAAUCUUUCGUCUUCCGCCAAUUCCAACCGGAUCCAUUUGUGAGGCAAAUUUCAUGGCGGAUUGCGGACAGCAGAAUCCCGAGAACUCACAAGAACCCGCAGAUUCACGUGCAAUCAUGCGAUAACAAGUUGUCUUAAGCCACAUAAUCUACCCAUAUAAUCAGUAGAAUGUGAAACUAUCUGUAACUGCAGUGCACUACAGGAAGUGUUGGGGGCAGUAUCGCUCGCUGGAAACCGAGAAGAAGAAUGUACAAAUUAUGGCCGAACAAACAAACAAAGAGGCUUAAAAACUCUGACCCAAAGUUUCCGAAGUUUGGAAACAUUUCACUGAAAAUAAACCAGCGACACACAUUAAUUGCAGUCUCAAUGAAGCUCAAC
Molecule: long non-coding RNA, 6416 nt
Filed under: Xyrichtys novacula (pearly razorfish)
Lineage: Eukaryota; Metazoa; Chordata; Actinopteri; Labriformes; Labridae
Source: RNAcentral